UGGACAGAUUAUUGUAUUCGACUGUAUUCACGGCGUGAAACAGGGGAUUACACUAUUUUUAAAUGAAAAGUGAAUCAAUUAACAUAAUAGACUCCU
MicroRNA precursor from Nicotiana attenuata, 96 nucleotides. It matches the Rfam family "MIR6152 microRNA precursor family". NCBI's taxonomy places the organism in Eukaryota, Viridiplantae, Streptophyta, Magnoliopsida, Solanales, Solanaceae. The record is from Rfam.